CUCUCGGCAACGGAUAUCUCGGCUCUCGCAUCGAUGAAGAACGUAGCGAAAUGCGAUACUUGGUGUGAAUUGCAGAAUCCCGUGAACCAUCGAGUCUUUGAACGCAAGUUGCGCCCGAAGCCGUCAGGCCGAGGGCACGCCUGCCUGGGCGUCACG
This 156-nucleotide ribosomal RNA is filed under the name Acacia myrtifolia. RNAcentral describes it as "5.8S ribosomal RNA". It matches the Rfam family "5.8S ribosomal RNA". From Rfam's summary of the family: 5.8S ribosomal RNA (5.8S rRNA) is a component of the large subunit of the eukaryotic ribosome. It is transcribed by RNA polymerase I as part of the 45S precursor that also contains 18S and 28S rRNA. Lineage: Eukaryota; Viridiplantae; Streptophyta; Magnoliopsida; Fabales; Fabaceae. The record is from RNAcentral. RNAcentral also lists the same sequence under 21 other names.